Molecule: ribosomal RNA, 117 nt
Filed under: Acidimicrobiaceae bacterium
Lineage: Bacteria; Bacillati; Actinomycetota; Acidimicrobiia; Acidimicrobiales; Acidimicrobiaceae
Also listed under: 1 other name
Source: RNAcentral
UUCGGUGGCGAUAGCGGCGGGGUCACACCCGUUCCCAUUCCGAACACGGAAGUUAAGCCCGCCAGCGCCGAUGGUACUUGGGUGGAGACGCCCUGGGAGAGUAGGACGCCGCCGGAU